Long non-coding RNA from Pipistrellus kuhlii (Kuhl's pipistrelle), 2683 nucleotides. RefSeq lists it as uncharacterized. Lineage: Eukaryota; Metazoa; Chordata; Mammalia; Chiroptera; Vespertilionidae. The record is from RefSeq and is a predicted model, not a curated record. The transcript is spliced from 3 exons.
AAUAAGCAGGAUAUUAAAUAUUAUGGAGAGAGAAAGAGACUAGCUACAAUCAUUGGAGCUGGCUAAGCAGUUUCUGUAAGACACUGUCCUUGCAUCUGAUGCUGGAGCCUGAAGCCCACAGGCAGACAGGAAGGAUAAAUGGAAGUGAAUUGGGGACAGGAGGGCAAAAACAAGAUAGAAUUCACAAGCACAAGCCCAUGGAGACAGACAAAUCUGUGUGGGCUCUUGUUCCUCUGAUGUUGGUGGUAUGGGUCCUACAGAGACAUUGGCCAAGAGUUGGGGAAGCUGAAGUGAGCCAGCAAAAAAGCAACAAUUUGAGCUACAAAAUGGCUGCUGCUUUAUUUCCCUCCUCCCACAAGGAUCUUCUGGGUUUCCUCCUGCUCCACUCUAACCAGCACCAUUCAGGAGGGGCAUGCUGGGAAGUGAAGUUCAGCUUAACUGGGUUGAGCACUCUGUGAGCCAGACGUGGCUCUACUCAGAAUGUCUGCAAUGGAGUGGGCAGUUCAAAGGUAGGCAGGCAAUUGCUACAGAGGGAGAUAAACACUAUGAGAGGAUAAGUACAGAGGCAUAAGAAACCUGUUUUUAUUCUCCACCCCUUAAUUCAGUUUGGGUUCUUUCUUAGUGUUUAAAAAAAAAAAAAAAAAGUCAGAACACUAAUGUUCCUAGCAGCAUUAUUCACAAUAACCAAAAGGUGGCUACAACCCAACUAUCCAUCAACAAACACAUGAAUGGAUAAAUAAAAUGUGGUAUAGCUAUACAAUGGAAUAUUAAUUCAUACUAAAAAGAAAUGAUACAUUAAUACACAUUCUACAUACAACACAGACAAAGCCUGAAGAUAUUAAUAUUAUGCUAAGUGAAAUAAGCCAGUCAGAGAAAGACAAAUACAUAUGAUCUCACUAGUAUGUGGAAUCUAAUGAACAAAAUAAACCUAUAAAAUGGAACCAGAAGCAUGAAUACAUGGAAGAGACUGGCCGGUGCCCAAAGGAAAGGGUCAGGUAACUGGAUAAAGACCAUGAAGGAAAUAGCUAAAGAACAUAUGCAUACCUCACGGACAUGGACAAUAAUUUGGUAAAAUCCAAGGAAGGGAUUGUCAGGAAAGAGGGUUAAAGGGGGGCAGGGGGCAAGAAAUUCCUGCAACAAUAAUUUUUAAAAUUUUAACAAAAAGAUGGGAAAUCAUUAAGACACCAAUUGUAUUUCAGAUUUUUGACUAUAUUAUGCAAUAGAUUUAAUUUUUCAUGAACUGUCUUAGCUUUUCAACUUGUGUUGGUGGGGGGUGGGGAAGCAGCCCUAUUAUUAUCUUUUGUCAGGACAUGGAUCCCUGGCCCCAGUGCUUGUGGUUAAGGGAGCAAUAUCAACACUGAGGACCCCUUAGGUCUUUCCAAGCACAGGAAAUUAAGCAGAAAGAACUUCCUGGGACAUCUCACCUCGCUAGAGCUGACUGUCUCCAAGACCACCUGGGACCCACCCCAUAGUCUUUACACCCUAAAGAAGUCUGCAGUGGAAUUUGGAGUAGAUAUGCCUGUUGAGGGGUAUUCUCCUAAAAUAAGUAUGACCACAUUCCAAAAGAAGUAGGAUUAUGCAUGUGGCCCUUUGAGAAAGGGACGUUACAGAGGGUCUGUGAACAAUGGAAAAAUCAGUGGAGAGUCCAUGGGUCCCAAGCCAACAAUCAUCAGAAUCUAAGGACUUAUUCCACUAAACUAAGUUUUCUCCCCUCCUCCCCCAGUUCACCUCCACCCACCCUCAGUUAUAAUGCUGGCUUAGAGAGGCCUGAGCAGCUAAUGGAAUAGUUUUCACUGAAGAUUUGGCCUGCAAACCCCUGGAGAACUAAUUUGAUUUCUUUCUUUUUUAAUUGGAUUUCCCCAAAUCAUCUGCUUCCCCUUUGGCUAUGCAAACAGGAUCAGAUCUUAUCCCAGUGUAGAAUCUUUCCUAUUCUGAAAGGCUCCAAGGAGCCAGAGCUGACCUUCUGGCCAAGCAGGGCAAUAAGGGGCCAUAGGACUGUUCUAACAUACCUUGCAAGGGCAGUACUGGUUCGAAACCCUCAGAGAUUCCUAGAUAAAAUCCAGCUCAAGUGUCAACUAGCAGUCCUUUUGAUAACCUCUUCCAUCACCCUACCCCUCAUGACCAGCUCUUACAAUGUCACAUGCACCCCCCCCUCUUCAACAAUAAGGUCUGACUUCAUCUGCAUGGAGGUGGCUCAUUUGGCAGCUACCUGGCUGCAUAAGAGGCAGAUGCUACAGCAACAAUAUAGGCACAUGCAAGAGAAAACACAGAUUAGAUGAUUCCCAAAAUAAGUAACAAUUUUCUCUACCAAGAGUCAUGAUCCCAACCUUUGAUUUACUAAGUCCCCUAGGCUAGAGAGUUGAAUCACUAAACGCAUUCAUUAGAGUUCUCAUGUGAUUUAAUAAAGAUGAUACAUUAGCAAAUUUAUCAGAUGUGAACAUACAACAUUCUGUUUGAGUAAUGUCAUAGGUGCCUUCUUGUGAUGCAGUAAUAAUGUCCAAAGCCAUCCUAUUUUGGAGGACAGUUUAUCUCAUUAGAGACACUUCAGUUUUCAGUACAGACUGGCUUCUCUGACUUGCUGGGGAAGGGUGAGGAAGGAGAGGAACAGGGAGGGUAGAGAGCAAAGGAGGAAGUGAAGGAGGAGGAGGAGCACACAAAUUCACUGAAACAGUGGUGAGUGGCA